Molecule: long non-coding RNA, 334 nt
Filed under: Musa acuminata (dwarf banana)
Lineage: Eukaryota; Viridiplantae; Streptophyta; Magnoliopsida; Zingiberales; Musaceae
Description: long non-coding RNA (MACU_LNC004107)
Source: RNAcentral
UUGCUUGGACACUUGUUUUGAGAUUCAAAAAGUCAGCCACCUCAUGGGACAAGAAGAGUUUGAGGAGAAUUGCUACUUGGACACUUGUUUUGAGAUUCAAAAAGUCAGCCACCUCAUGGGACAAGAAGAGUUUGAGGAGAAUUGCUAACCAUGUCGUGAAGCAAUUUGACCUUAUAGAACAAAACAUAAUAUUUCGAAGGUGUUGACCAUAUAUGAUCGUACUAGAUUUACAUGUGAUUCCCGCUUGGCAGGCUUCCUCCAAUAUCCAAAUAUCAUUUUGACUAUUGGAAUCAUCAACAGGUGUUAUAUGCAUAUGAACAUAAAUUUAGUGAUG